Molecule: long non-coding RNA, 2029 nt
Organism: Saccostrea echinata
Lineage: Eukaryota; Metazoa; Mollusca; Bivalvia; Ostreida; Ostreidae
Exons: 5
Source: RefSeq, a predicted model, not a curated record
UAUGGUGGGUUAUGCUUGUUGUAUGUAGUAUAAUGUGUGUGGUUAUGAAUAGGUGCAUGUGUAUAUGUGUAUGACAGGUGUACAUUCAUGUGUGGGUAAUAUUUGAGUUAUGUUUGUAUGUGUUUAUGUAAUGUAUAUAAUUAUAUGCAGCAGUGUGCUCUUUACACAGUGACUGAAAGACUGAAAAAACAUAUAUCUUGACGAUACAACAUCAUGGUUAACGUACAGACCUGACAUCAGAUUAGAUUAUAAAUAAGGAUUUUUUUAUGUGCCCAGAUCGAUAGAUCGGGGGCGCACAUUGUUUUUGUCCUGUCUGUCUGUUUGUCUGUUUAUCUGUUUGUCUGUUGUCAACUUUAACCUUCGCCAUAACGUUUGAACCAUGAGAGAUAGAGACUUCAUAUUUGGUAUGCUUACUCCAUUAAUUAAGCUCUUUCAAAUGACACCAAGGUCAAUGACCUUGUGACCUUGACUGUGACCUAUAUGCUAAAAAUAGCUUUUUCGAACCUUUGUCAUAACUUUUGAACCAUAGGAGAUAGUGACUUCAUAUUUGGUAUGCAUACUCCACAAAUUAAGCUCUUUCACAUGACACCAAGUUCAAUGACUUUGCAACCUUGACUGUGACCUAUAUGCUAAAAAUAGCCUUUUUGAACCUUCACCGUAACUUUUGAACCAUAAGAGACAGAGACUUCAUAUUUGGUAUGCAUACUCCACUAAUUAAGCUCUUUCAAAUGACAUCAAGGUCAAUGACCUUUUGACCUUGACUGUGACCUAUAUGCUAAAAGUAGCUUUUUCAAACUUUGUUGCUGCCAGGUGCAUAGUAUUUCACAAACACAUCUUGUUUUCAAAUUAAAAUGCAUGAGUCAUAUGAUAUGCUUCAUUAAUUAUCUUCAUCAUAAAGAUCUACCUUUUUCCCUUUUAAAUUUAAUAUUAUUAAUGUUAACUGAUCGAAAGUCAGAGGUCAUUUAGUUUUCUCCUAUUCUAUGUCCAAUGGUUCUCUAAAGAUAUCUUCGAAAUCUUGCGGUUUUCAAAUUAUGCAAAAAGGUUGGAAUUGAUUUACAAUCAUGACCUUUUAAAGUCAAAAUUUAAAUCCCCAUAUUUCACUUAAAGUGUCAUGAAUCAAAAUUCUUAAUUGUUCACAACUCUAACCACUGCGCCAUGUGAGAGCACUUAAAAUAUAGGAUUGGGAGGGGGUGGGGUGAUUAAAAAACUGUUUUCUAGUAUUUGUCAGGUGACGAGACUAUCCAGUCCAUCAGGAGCUGCAGACUUUGAUGAGUGUUUCAUUUGAUUCAGUUAAUACCCUAUAUUGUGAAAUGAUGAAUUCAACGUUUAUUUUGUGGGCUCUCGGGAGGGAUGGCCAACCAAACAAGGAAGAGCAGAUAAUUGUGAGAAUUAGGAUACAGGGUAUACACAAUGCCAGUGGACCAACAUUUUAAAAAAUAGUAAGAAGAGAAGAACAUCUCUCAUCAAGAAGAGUCCAGAAAGGGGAAUCAACUGCAGCCAAACAUGGUAGACAGGAAAUGAUGACAGCUGUACCCCACUACCCUUAGGACCUUAGGUUAAGAAGAGUGCAUCACCUGCCAGCAAGAAUACCAAGAGAAGGAUAGACUUUGACCAACCCAAAAGUAACGAAAUGGAUGUAGAGAAGCAAGGCCGAUCAGAAGCACUAGACCACUCAACAGCUAGAGAGUUCGGUAAAGGUUUGGUUACUAGACAUAAGGUGAGUUGUAUUCCUAAUUAUAACAUUAGGUGCUAGGCAUGAAUUGCCCUGCAACCUACAUAUACAAGGUACAUUGAUAUAUACCUGCUGUGAAGUGUACAGCUCCUCUCUCUCCUUUUCUUCUGCUGACGGACAGACGUGUUACUGUCAGCUGCAUUAUUUUUAUGUACUGUACUAUACAUUGUAAGACGCAGAUUAUUUUACCAUAGUGUUAAUUUGACUCUGUUUCCACCGUCACUGCAUAUUGUUAUUAUAGUAAAAUGCUUAUGGUGCUGCGAGCAGGGUACUUCAGUUUGACAGUGGGGUAAAUGC